Molecule: small RNA, 650 nt
Filed under: Pan troglodytes (chimpanzee)
Lineage: Eukaryota; Metazoa; Chordata; Mammalia; Primates; Hominidae
Description: retained intron
Source: RNAcentral
AGAGCUGGCCGUGGGGGAAGAGCAAUGGUGUGCGGAGGUGGGGAGGCCCUAUCUAGGGACAAGCAGAAAACUUAGGGUGGGCAGAUCCCCCCGACCCCUGUGCAGGGGCUGCCAGAGACCAGAGAGGCUGCUGUGUGACCUGGACCAAGCCCCUUGCCCUCUCAUGCCUCAGUUUCCCCUUCUCUCCACGGAGGGAUUGAGCAGGACAUGGAGGGCCCCUUCCAGUAGCCAUUCUGGGACUCCCUGCACCUGUCCCCAGGGGAGGGUCCUGAGCUGGCCUCCACGUGGCUGCUGUUCCCCAUAGUGGAACCUUGUGUGUGGAGAUGGCUGGAAGGUCCCGCUGGAGCAGGUGAGCCACCUCCUGGGCUGGCUGCUGGGCUGUGUCGUCCUGGGAGCAGGCUGUGACCGGUUUGGACGCCGGGCAGUUUUUGUGGCCUCCCUGGUGCUGACCACAGGCCUGGGGGCCAGUGAGGCCCUGGCUGCCAGCUUCCCUACCCUGCUGGUCCUGCGCCUACUCCACGGGGGCACAUUGGCAGGGGCCCUCCUCGCCCUGUAUCUGGCUCGCCUGGAGUUGUGUGACCCUCCCCACCGCCUGGCUUUCUCCGUGGGGGCUGGCCUUUUCUCGGUGGCGGGCACCCUGCUGCUGCCCG